CACCAGAGAAUCCAUACUGGAGAGAAAUGC
This 30-nucleotide non-coding RNA is filed under the name Mus musculus (house mouse). Lineage: Eukaryota; Metazoa; Chordata; Mammalia; Rodentia; Muridae. The record is from RNAcentral.